UUAUAAAGAAAAAGUUUCAUACUUGGAAAUUUUUUUUAUACAUUAUUCUAGAACAUUUAUUAAUCACUUAUACUAAUUAUCAUACAAUCUAAAAAACAAUUGAACAUAUUAUACUCAUCAAUUCAAAAAACACUUCUUACAUUAUAUGGUAUGCAUUGUAUCAUGUUGGACCAUCUUGAUAUAAACAUGGCAAAACGCAUAUAUUUGGAAAAUUAUAUAACUAAAACAUGAUAUCUUAUUAUUAAACAUAUUAUAUCAUCUGUCCAACUAAAAGUUAAUUCCCUUAAUGAAGUCCAACUCUAAAUACUAAAACUUUCACAAAGUACAAAUAAAUUGAGUACGGGACAACUGAAUAACUUAUGACAUAACUAUGGCUAAUGCGCAGUAUUUUGUCUGGGCCCGCAUUCCACUUUUAUUAUCAUAAUAACUAUUGUGUGUUCACACUAUGCGUUCACACUAUGUGUUCACACUAUGUAUUUCAAUUUCAAUUCAAAAAAUCUUUCUCAUCUCAUUAAAUUACAAACUUUUCUCUCUCUUUCUUUAUUUCUUUCUUCUCCUUUCUUCUCUCGAAAAGUUUUCUUCUCUCCUUCUCUCUUCUCUGACGACGAACCUCCGCCGACGAACAACACAACGAACCUCCGCCGACGAACAACACGACGAACCUCCGCCGACGCCGAAUCUUUCGCAUCAGCCGCCUUGUCCAAGUUCAUUGGUAAGUUUUGGGUUGGAUAGAAAAUAAAUUAGGGUUUUGAUUUUCCCCCAAUUCCAUUGAAUUAUGGGUUGCAAAGGAAUUAGAGUUGCCGUUUAUGAUAAUUUGAUAUCUAGGGGUUGGAUUUUGGAUUUUCUUAAAGAUCUAGGGUUUGGAUGUUAGGGUUUAUAUUUUGGAAUUUAUCCCCUUUUGAUUUUCAUGUGUUUGGCUAUGUAGCAAAUAAUGCGGCUUAGUUAUUGUCACCUUCUUCAUCAGAGGAACGAUCCGAUGAUCCUUCCAAGUACGAUGGUGAUUUUGGUGUUCCCCAAAUCUGUUUUUGUGGUAAACAGCUUGAGCUUGUAGAACGUCUUAUUGGCGAUCAAAAGAAGACAUUUCUCAAAUGUCCGAUGAGUGGUCAAGAUGAUAAUUAUCACGUAGACAAGGGUUGGGAUGUUGUAGUUCACGAGCAGUGCUUUUGCAUCGACAAACGAUUUGGCGAGCACAGGGAAUUGAUCCAAACGCAUUCAAAUUUGGAGGUGAUAGUAAUCGUCUGCUGGUUUCCUCCUCAGUAAAGGAUAUCUCGGGACAAUCAGUUUGACCCGUUUUUGGUUUCUUUGCGAUCGGAGUGACAGUUCUUCUCUCAUGCUGCUUUAUCGCGCUAAUAGAAUCACGAAAAAGUUUUGAACCUCCCAUAAUCACUUUGACCAUUUUCUUCGGCCCUUUAGGAAUUACAAGGGCUGGGUCACGUUUCUGUUUCUUGCUCGGAGGUGAAGCUUCCUCUGAUUCUAAUGUUUCGUUCGCGGUCUGAGCCAAUUCGAUCGGUGUGAUGUCAAAUUCGGAAAUUUCUCCUGACGCGUACUUCGCCGCUAACAAUCUGCCCAAAGCUUUGCAGUCCUUGGUUGCAUGACCAUUCAUCUUAUGAAUAUCACAGUACGCAUUCAGAUCUUGGACCCAUUUGUUACUCGGAAAAGCGCCGUUUUUGCCCUUAGGAGAGAAAGGUGGUUUGGACGGUGAAGCUUUAGGAGAGGACUUCGAUGAUUCUUUCUCAACGGAAAAAGUUCCUGCUGUAGGUUUUCAGGGCUCGGCGGGUUUUUUGGUGGUUACGGGUUGAGGCGCCUUUGGUGCAACAUUUGAAGCACUGAACUUUUUGGCUAGAAAAGCUCGUUCUUCUUCUGCGUUUAUCCAGUUCGUUGCUCAAUGAAGUGCAUCUUGAAUCGUCUCAGGCCGGUUUACUGUCAAAGACUCGCGGAAGCGUGACUCAUGCCAAAGACCAUUUUUUAGCGCGAAUUGAGCAGUUGAGUCAGAUAAGCUAGGUAUUUGAACCAUGAUCUCUUUGAACACAAUAAUAUACGUCCGAAGUGGGUCAUCUGCGGAUUGAGAAAGAUUCCAAAGAUGGGCUUCAGUGAUGUCACUCUUAAUGAAGUAUCCGUACUGCUUAAUGAACGCAGUAGAGAGUUGCUUGAAAUUGUCAAUCGAGCCUUCUUCCAGUUGGGUAAACCAGGUGAGAGCGGGUCCUGACAAAUUUUCCGAGAACAACUUGCAAAGCCCAGCAUCUUCUUCGUAUGGCUCUA
This 2259-nucleotide small RNA is filed under the name Arabidopsis thaliana (thale cress). RNAcentral describes it as "ATSL032770". Lineage: Eukaryota; Viridiplantae; Streptophyta; Magnoliopsida; Brassicales; Brassicaceae. The record is from RNAcentral.